This is a long non-coding RNA of Tympanuchus pallidicinctus (lesser prairie-chicken), 4490 nucleotides long. RefSeq lists it as uncharacterized. NCBI's taxonomy places the organism in Eukaryota, Metazoa, Chordata, Aves, Galliformes, Phasianidae. The transcript has 4 exons. The record is from RefSeq and is a predicted model, not a curated record.
GUAGCAGCAUUUCUGUCCUACUGGUACCACGGGCAGCAUGGCUGUUUGCUUCUCCAUGGACGGGGACUGCCCACCCCUGGGCAGCUGUGCCAGUGCCUGGCUGCUCAAUGGAGCAGACAUUGCUCUGAUGUCCAACCUGACCCUCCCUGGCACAAGGCGAGGCCAGCACCUCCUAUGAAGAUGAAGGGGAAGAAGAGUGGGGUGCAGAACCACCUGGGGGUCUUCAUGGACCAGCACUGUGAAGGAUGCAGUUAUUGUGCACUGUCCUUGUGGACUCACCUCAGCAGUAACCUCGCACCGCUGUGCAUUUUCCUGGCACACUGACAGUCCCAGCGAGCAGCUGCAGUUCCAUGGUGGCUACAUUAGGAAUGUGGCUUCUGCAGCCAUCACUGUGGCCAUCAGCAGCGGAUGUCUGCUGUGCAGAGGGACAUGGGUGCCAACAGCAAGCACCUGGGCAUGGAAAGCUGGUUUCUGUUACUGUAAAUGAGCACCUUUAGUUCAUAAAUGCAAGAAAACUGAUAGCCAACCUGACCCAACCCUGGAGAAGUUUAUGAAAGAAGAUAAAGGAUGGGGUACCGGGAGACAAAAGACUCAUCGCCUUGCAGGAAAGAGAUGAAUGCAGAAAAAGAAGAAGAGAUGGAUUGAAGCUCGUUUUGAAGGCAGAAGGAGCCAUCCCCAGGUCAGCUUCCAGUACUUCCUAUGACAUUUAUUGAAGUCAACAGAGAUGUCACUUUUGACCAUCAGCCUGAAUGUGUCCUCCCAACUGGAAGGGCUUUUUUCACCUUGAUGAUCCUUGAGGUUCCUUCCAACCCAAGCCAGUCCAUGAUUCUAUGAUUCACCGACUGCAUCACAUCCCACAAAGUAUCUCAAUGCAGAGCUGAAGCAACUCCCCUUCAUCUUAAUGGCACAGCAGAAGAUAUUCACAAGGAUGCCAGGACAUAUUCUUCUGGUUUAAGUGGAGAAACAUUGGCACUGGAUGUCACUGGAGCAAGAUCCUGAAGCCUGGGGAGACUUCUGGAAAGGAGGUUGUGAGCAUCACUGUCAUGGCAAGGGGUUGGUAUAAAUAAAAUAGAGGAUGCAGGGAGAACAUUGAAUGCAUGUGUUCUUUAACUAGCAGUGCAUCAUCAGUGCAUCAACUUCAUCCAUUUUUGAAUGGGAUGUCUGCCUCGUACAAUGAAGUGAAUGUAUCUUAUGUUCUUAUUGUGACUCUCAAUUCUUGGGAUCCAGAGGCCUGUGGCUACUGAACUCUCAUUUGUAUAUCACCUCACUGUUACUGUCUGGGUUUUAGCUGUUACCCUCAGUCUUUUAUUCCCAUGAUCCCAGAAGCUCUCUCUCUUCAAACAGAUCUUUAUUUUCUGAAGUGUAUUUAUUAUUCAGCUUAACUUCUAGGAGCAGAUCACAGUGAGAAAGAGAACUGCACGAGGCUGUUUCUGCUGCUUGCUGCUUUGAGACUCAACUUGCACUGAAAUGGUUAAAUUCAGCACUUCAUUUUUGCAAAUGCUCUCUUGAGUUACUUUGGCUUUUGUGAAAUUUUCUUCCCCCUGGUUUCAGUUGCUGGAAUAUCUAAAAAACACUUAAACAAGCAUAAAAGAAAUCCAACACAUCCAUGGGUAUUAACCUGUUGGAUGUUACCUAAUGAGCCCAUAUGCUGUACUGUCAUUCAUUCACUGUGACAGAAGGAUGACAUGGAAAUGCUGACAUAUAUCUGUGUUGUUUAAUGCAGGCACAGUGUAACUCAUUAUUUUAUGCAGCAAACCAAAGUCUCUAAUGCCUACAAGGAUGCUAUAGAAGCUGCUUUUCAGAAACAGAACAAAAUCUACCUUUCCUGUGUGCCUAUGAAAAAAGGGAGGACUGCAUGAGGAGCCCAAAUUGUAUGAAGCUGAGUGACAGAAUUCUCUGCGGCUGCUAACAGCAAUCCCACCAUGUCUGUGAGAGCUGAAAGAACUGCAUAUUUUUCCAACUGUGACCCCAAGAAUAGGUAUUAAUGCAGCUGCUACAUUCUAAAUACUUCUGUAACAGUUUUUUCAGAUUGUUCUUCCCAUUCAUUUACAACAGGCUGAAUGGAAAUGGAGAGGAAAACAAGUGCUAACCUCAUAGAGCAGUUGUGGAUGGGUGGGUAGCAGCCCAAGGGCUGCAUUUGCUUUAGGUCCUCCUCAUGGAAUUAGGGUUAUUAUUGUGAUUUACUAAGAAACAUAUGUGCAAGUAUACACCAAAACUGCAGAAAAUAGAAUUUUAGAAGCUUAUUCAGCAGUGGAUUUCAGGAUACAGAUGUUGGAUAUAAUAUACUCGCACUAAAUCGGAUUCUGGGUGAAUAAAGGAGCUGAUGUUAAAUUCAGCUUGGAGCCCUGCUCAGCACUCAGUUUGAAAUACACAGCCUUUUUGUUUCGCUUUUGCAACUUAUUCAAUAAAUAUUUUGGCAUGCCUGUCUGUUACGCUGCCUUAAUCUUCUCUUCAACUGAGCAGAAAUUAGCAUUUGUAAUUUAUUCACCAAGGGAAACUCAAAAGGCUCUGCACCAGGGUGAAAUGUAAUGCCCAACAGAUAGCUGGAGAGCUGAGUCAGCACAAUGGGCGUUUGACAAAUUUGCUCAUUGCCUGCACCUCAUUGAAUGGGAGACGUGGCAGAAAGGGGGGGCAAGCUUUUAUCUGUGUCUCAGUGGAGCCAUGCAGGGCUGUGAAGGCUGGCUGCGCUGUGCCAUCAUCCCCUCUUCAAGUCCCAUAACACAAAUGGCUGUGCCAUUCAACUCAGGUCAUUACAAGAAAAUCACAAGAUGCCCAUUCUGUAUUGUAAACAGCAGAUAGACAGUUGUCAGUUAUCUUACUGAGAAACAAAGUCUCUCAUCAGCUUGAUUCUUUUCCCCUCGAUCCAACCCCAUGCAGGUUUAAAUAAAUUAACUCUAAACAAGUAAAGCAACCAAAAUACCCACUCACCAGAUUUCAAUGACUAAACAGCAGGUUCACACUCAGGAUGACUCAUUUAUCUCAUUAUUAGAAUUCUUGUCUAUCUUGUUAUUAGAAUUCAGGUGGGAAAAGGCUCCUGAGAGACGACCCACCCCACUGUGCCCACGUCCCUCAGUGCCACAUCCCUGCAGCUCUGAACACCUCCAUGGAUGGGGACUGCCCACCCCAGGGCAGCUGUGCCAGCACCUGGCUGCUCUCUGGAGCAGCCAUUGCUGUGAUACCAUCCUGACCCACUCAUCUCAUUGCCAGGGCAGAGGCUGACCCCCACCUCACUACAUGCUUCUUUCAGGGAGUUGGAGAACUCACAUCCUGCAGUGAAAAAGGAGCAGUUUCAGCCAUGACCUUCACCCCUCUCUCGCCUUCUGUAAGAGAUGAGUUUUUGGCACUGGGUACUGUUUUGGUGGGGGCCUUUUGCACCUAUUUCUUCCUUUGAAUCUCCUUGAAUCAUUUUGGACAUUGCUAUGAUGCAAGCCAAGUUGACAGACAUAGUAUGACAAUUAGGGCUGUGCUGAGAAGCAGGCACAAGGAAUGUGGUUUAUGAGUGGUAACGUCAUUGAUUUUUGCUUUCUCAAUGAGCUAGCCACCACUCCACAUAGAGAAUUUAUAAUCAGAAGCAUCCCUCUGUAUUGGCAGGUGGACAGAGCCUGACUUUCAGUGCAGCAGCAUUUGAUCGAUAUGGCGAUAUGCCGUACGCGUUGGUGAGCAAUGGGUCUCAUGCUGCCAUCCCUGGAACAGGAAGCAUUCCCACCACAAAAGCAGAUAUCAGAGUUCUUCACUGCACCGUUACCUGCUUGCUGGAGAAAGGAGGCAUGAAGCUGUUCUCCCUCCUGUUCCACCUGCACUCAUGUUUGCAGCACAAUGCUUGCUGAGAAACAAAGUAAGAAAAAAAAAGACUCCAGAAUGUGCAACUAUUACUCUGUAUAAGAAAAUUAAGGAAAGAAAAACUACCAUAAGUUGACAGUGAGCCAGGGGACGGGGGGCAGACAAGUACUUACUCUUUCCAGCGUGAAUUGCUUCGUUUUUUCUUCCUUUUCAGUUCAUUAUAGCCAUAACUUUAUUUAAAUGUAGCUUUUCUUUCCAGUGUGGCUGUGGUAAUUUCUUAGAGAACAUAUUUUAAUGGCCUGGCUGUACGCUCAGGAUUUCUGUUUGCUUCUGUAAUUGCUUCUUAAUUAUUUUCCAAUUGCUGAAACAACAGUUUCCACAGUUUAUUAAAAAGCGUUUUUGAAAGCUUUACCCUAAGGCAUUGUCAACAUUUUAUUACUAUCACUAACAGUCAGCACAAAUGAAUAAUCACCAGCGCUGGUAGCUCAUGUCAAGCAGACAAGAAUGGCAGAGUCCUAUGUAGAAAUAAGAUGACAUAGGAAUUAGGAUGAGCUUACUGUGUUUCCAGGUUGGAGUGGAGCAGCCACUUUAAACCCAAUGGCAUCUCUUUCAGGUAUAAGGUCACCAAUGGAGAUAACAUCACUGCAUUUGGAAGGAGAAAUAGUCUCAGAAAUUAAAAACAAAAAAAAUACAGCUACUGUUUAAGCCAC